UACGGAGGGUGCAAGCGUUGUCCGGAAUCACUGGGCGUAAAGGGCGCGUAGGCGGCUCAUGAAGGCUGUGGUGAAAGUCCGGGGCUCAACCUCGGAUCGGCCGUGGCGACUCGUGGGCUGGAGCACUGUAGAGGCGGGUGGAAUUCCGGGUGUAGCGGUGGAAUGCGCAGAUAUCAGGAGGAACACCGAUGGCGAAGGCAGGUCACUGGGCCACUACUGACGCUGAGGAGCGAAAGCAUGGGGAGCGAACAGG
Molecule: ribosomal RNA, 253 nt
Filed under: uncultured bacterium
Lineage: Bacteria
Description: partial 16S ribosomal RNA
Rfam family: Bacterial small subunit ribosomal RNA
Source: RNAcentral